Hemicordylus capensis (graceful crag lizard) is the source of this 2787-nucleotide long non-coding RNA. RefSeq lists it as uncharacterized. The transcript has 6 exons. The record is from RefSeq and is a predicted model, not a curated record. NCBI's taxonomy places the organism in Eukaryota, Metazoa, Chordata, Lepidosauria, Squamata, Cordylidae.
GCGGGAAGAGUAGCCGAUGUGCAACCGUAGACGCCGCGAGACUAUAGCGACACCGCUGGUUCCUCAUCGAACGCGGCCAUGUGCGGGGCAACCAAUACAAAGAAACGAGAGCAGAACUACAUAGAGAUUGGGAGAUGAAGCGGAUUCACCGUCAUAUGACGGGGUUCAAAUGGUGCACUGUAGCUGUGUACAGUAGCGACUGAAGAGGGCUCAAAUCUUACACAUGUACUCUGGGUUAGCAGAACAUUUAUUCUCCAGAUGCAGUUAAAGGCUUCAAGGACCCCAACAGGCAACUCCUGGGCACUUUCAGCAUCCUGCCAGGGGAGUCGUGCUCAUCAUGAUGGAAGGGGCUUCUCUUCUGGGCUGUGGCCCACUUCAUCAAGUGGAAAAAAGGCACCAAAACAGGACUAUGAAAGAUUUGGGGGACAAGUGGUGUUUCCUUUGAUCAAUCUGGUGUAAGGUCAAGAUGCGUAAAGAUAAAGCAGGAUCCGGCAAGGAAAGAGCGGACUUUGAAAGAAGGUGUAGUAGUCAAGAAGAGAAGAGAAGGACCAGGCUGCCCAUAUACUACUUCCCUGCCCUGAGGAAAAUCCCAUUAUCCACUUCAAACUGAAAUUUGACACCAUUGAAUAGCACUAGUUCAGAAAUAAGAAUAGUCUAUAUAUUAACUUUGGUAUUUCAUGAGGUAAUGAUGAGAGGCUGGCAUUUCAGGAGGACCUCCCCACUUCUGCAGCCAGAACCAGGAGAGUCCCACCCCACCCCCUUCUGCAGCCAGACCAACUUCAGUCCUGACCUCCUUCUGCAGCCAGCCCCUGGACCGUCCCGCACCCCCCUUCUGCAGCCGGCCCCGGGACAGUCCCGCACCCCCCUUCUGCAGCCGGCCCCAGGACAGUCCCGCACCCCCCUUCUGCAGCCGGCCCCGGGACAGUCCCGCACCCCCCUUCUGCAGCCGGCCCCGGGACAGUCCCGCACCCCCCUUCUGCAGCCGGCCCCGGGACAGUCCCGCACCCCCCUUCUGCAGCCGGCCCCGGGACAGUCCCGCACCCCCCUUCUGCAGCCGGCCCCGGGACAGUCCCGCACCCCCCUUCUGCAGCCGGCCCCGGGACAGUCCCGCACCCCCCUUCUGCAGCCGGCCCCGGGACAGUCCCGCACCCCCCUUCUGCAGCCGGCCCCGGGACAGUCCCGCACCCCCCUUCUGCAGCCGGCCCCGGGACUGUCCCGCACCCCCCUUCUGCAGCCGGCCCCGGGACUGUCCCGCACCCCCCUUCUGCAGCCGGCCCCGGGACUGUCCCGCACCCCCCUUCUGCAGCCGGCCCCGGGACUGUCCCGCACCCCCCUUCUGCAGCCGGCCCCGGGACUGUCCCGCACCCCCCCUUCUGCAGCCAGCCCCAGGACAGUGCAACACCCCCACUUCUGCACACAUACCCAGCUCUGGGCCAGUCCUGCCUCCUUCCUGCAACUGGCCACAGUUUAGUCCUGCCCCCCGCCCUUGAUUUCCCUCAGGGUAGGGAUUAAAUGGCUCGCCAAGAAACGAGGAGAACUCCUGUAGAAGUAACUACAGCCAGUGAAUGCAAGGGAAAUGCAGAAUCCCAGGAGGAUGGAGCAGCUCUAGAUGGAGCAUCCCAAGAGUGGAAAAUGCUGUUGAGAUCAACGAUGUUUUACCCAAGGACUUGCCUCACGCCUGAACCAUGGUUAAACAAAGGAGCACUUCCCGGAAUCCCACUUGGCAUUGUUAUUGAGGUAAGUGCAGAGGGCGACCUCAGCCCGGUCAGUACACAUCAACACUGACAAAUCUCCCCUCGUGGGUGAAGGGAAUUGUGGGCAGGAAGAGGUUGAGGAGAUCAAGCCAGAUUCCCAUUCCUUUUCUGGCUAAGUUCCCCAAAGCCUCAAGUCUAUUCAAGGUGUUGGGAGCAGAUCAAAGGAUCCUUCUGUGUGUAAGGGAGGAUACUUCUCCAUUCAGAGGAGUUUUGCCUUCACCUCUGAGGCAAAAACCACCCCCUUAACAGGGAGGCAUGGUUGCACCACAAUUCUUCACCCCAGGAGUGGAAGCCACACCUUAGUUUACAGAACUCCUUUCAAACUGGUUUCUAUAGUUGUGGCCUGAGUUUGCAACUCUUCUCUCUGCCCCAUCUCUUGAUUCGGAGCCUGGGUGCAAGACCACAUCUUCUCCUAGCACUGCAUGCAGUGUGGGGUGCUGGUUUUUUGCAUCCAUUCCCGACAGGGUAUAAGAAACAAGCCUGGGAAACACAGUGGACCAUGCUGUGACGGCAUCCUUGGUAGGGAUGUUCCUGAAUCGGCACAUCUGAACCAGGCGAAUCAUUUUGGUACCUCUCUAAUGAGGCACCAGAAUGAUGUGAGCACAUCCCUUAUCCUCGGUCCAUAGGGCCAUCCAGAGGGAUGAGGACAUGCUAAUGAAAGCAGUCCCCAACUUCUGCUGGCUUUCUGCAGGAACACCUUGGCAUCCGCUCACCCCACCGGGUAACAGUGUGGGAUUAGCUGGCCGCCUUUUGGGGCCGAGUAGGAAUUUUCCCCAUCCACCCAGAUUGGCCUGGAGGUGGCUGGUUUUUUGCCUACUCUACACUGUUGCACUGGUAGGGGUUUUUGAUCUGGCCCAUGUUAGGAGCGGUGCCUUUAAAUAGAGUAGCCCCUUGGUCACCAGCACCAUGAUGGCAGGUCAGAGGAGGGGAUACGGUGCUGCACCCUAGGGGUGGCAGCUCCACUGUGGCUUGGCUACAUUGCAGCUCUCUGUUGAAACUAGGUUAAUAAAGUUAUCGCCCUAGUUUUAAUCCA